GCUUUCGUGGUGUAGUGGUCAGCACGCUCGACGCGUAUUCGAGAGGUCCGUGGUUCGAGUCCCGGUGAGGGCA
This 73-nucleotide transfer RNA is filed under the name Stegodyphus mimosarum. It matches the Rfam family "tRNA". Rfam says of the family: Transfer RNA (tRNA) molecules are approximately 80 nucleotides in length. Their secondary structure includes four short double-helical elements and three loops (D, anti-codon, and T loops). Further hydrogen bonds mediate the characteristic L-shaped molecular structure. tRNAs have two regions of fundamental functional importance: the anti-codon, which is responsible for specific mRNA codon recognition, and the 3' end, to which the tRNAs corresponding amino acid is attached (by aminoacyl-tRNA synthetases). tRNAs cope with the degeneracy of the genetic code in two manners: having more than one tRNA (with a specific anti-codon) for a particular amino acid; and 'wobble' base-pairing, i.e. permitting non-standard base-pairing at the 3rd anti-codon position. The record is from Rfam by way of RNAcentral. Lineage: Eukaryota; Metazoa; Arthropoda; Arachnida; Araneae; Eresidae.